AUUUUAAUAGUUUUUAGUAUAGUUGUUCAGAAAAAAAAGACAAAUCACAUGUGUACAUGUAGACAUUGCUCAAGUUAUGAUAUAAUGUAAAAAUGAAAAUUUGGAACUUCAUUUAAAUCAUUUAUACCGGUCAUCUAUAAUAUAGUUGGUGUCCACAUGGACACCCAAAAUAAUUGAUAUUCUUUUGGAGUUUUAUGUUUGCUUCUAUUAUAGACAACAUCAAUGAUAUUUUGUGUACAAGUAACAUAGACAAUUUAUCAGUGUGAACAUAUAAAUUAUGGGAUCAAAUCAAAAGGAUUUAUUUUCCAAUCAGAAACAUCUGGGGCAUAAACGAAAUGAAACAAAAUGGCAUGGACCAAUGUUCCAAAAUCAGAAUAUUUGCUUGGUCUGGAUUGCACAAUUAAAAGUUUCGGAAAAUAUUCAUGAACAUAAUAGAAUUUUGAGACAAAUUUGAGAAUAAAUAAGAGUUGGAAGACCAGAUGUGCAA
RNAcentral lists this long non-coding RNA (487 nucleotides) under Brassica napus (rape). RNAcentral describes it as "long non-coding RNA (BNAP_LNC013520)". The record is from RNAcentral. Lineage: Eukaryota; Viridiplantae; Streptophyta; Magnoliopsida; Brassicales; Brassicaceae.